GUGAGUAUAAAAAUGUCAUUUUGUCAGCAUCUGGACAGCUAAAGUUAAAAAUCAGAGACCACAAUUUGUUUUAAUUGGACAUAAAAUGUUUAUUUCCCCAUUCAAAGAAUUUAAAGAAAGGUGAUCACUAAAAAACAAGUCAACAUAAAAAGAAGAGUGUGAAAGUGGGAGAAAAAGCAAUGCUUCAGCAGACUUUCUGAAAAUCAUAAGCUAAAUACAUUUGUCCUUUUAAAUCUGACUAAAAAAAAAUUCUUUAAACAAAAAGAAAUCAAAAGUAAAAAAAACUUUUAAAGUCUAAAAAAAUCUUUGUGCACAUGCACAAAAUAAAAUAUAUUAAACAAAACUAUAUUAACACAAACUUAAAUCAAUGUUAAACGAAAAAGUAAAAAAAAAAAUAAUAAUAAAAAAAAUAAUAAUAAAAAGAUACCACGGUCUUGGAGGAACACAAGUCUGCUUGGCAGCAUAUUGUUAUUACAGUAACUAGAGCAAAAUGCAUCUGUGGACUAAUCAUUUACAAAAUCAUUUAGGCUUUUUUUCCCCAAUUCUAAAUACUUAACAGCAUGAUGGUAAAAUAGGACCACACCAUUUCCAAUAAUAUCCACUUUGCAUUUACACUUUUUAUUAUUUAAGAUUAAGAUUCUGUUUGCUUUAAAUGUUAAAGUAGGGCACAUCCCAUUUCAAAUAGUUUUCUUUUUACCAAAUCUUUGAAAUAGUCUAAAUGUUGGAAUAAAGGCUUUUACAAAAGAAAUAAAACAAAAAGAAAACAACCCUAAAGGGUGGAGCAGCUUACAAAAAAAAAAAAAGUAUACAUUUUAAAAAUGAGAUUGUCAGAGCUAGUGUUUAAUGACGCGAGAAGAAACCUUAAGAUGCAACUGUCUUUUCGUAGAGACGAACAUGCAUAUUGCUUUAACAGGCAUUUAAAACCAGGACGACAGCUUAAGCAUGAUCAAAACAACUAAAAAGAUUUGGGAACCCUUUCCUAAACCCCAUCAACAGAGCAAUGUACUUCCAAUUACAUGAUACUUUAAAUCAAAUAACAUUUUUCUAGUUUAUUUUUACUCCUCAUACCCUCUACUGCACCUUCACACAAUUCAUCAGUCUGUCUAAAAGAACAAUUGCAUAUCGUGUAGAAGAAUCUUACCACGUUACAUGCUAUAACACAGGCUAGU
Molecule: non-coding RNA, 1169 nt
Organism: Pimephales promelas (fathead minnow)
Lineage: Eukaryota; Metazoa; Chordata; Actinopteri; Cypriniformes; Leuciscidae
Source: RefSeq, a predicted model, not a curated record